This 121-nucleotide ribosomal RNA is filed under the name uncultured bacterium. RNAcentral describes it as "partial 16S ribosomal RNA". The record is from RNAcentral.
UAAGGUAGCCGUAAGUCGUAACAAGGUAACCGUAAGUCGUAACAAGGUAACCGUAGAGUUUGAUCCUGGCUCAGCCUUUGAUAAAAUGAGAAGUCGUAACAAGAUAACCGUAGAGGAGAUA